UUAGAUUUUGGACUUCGAAGAAAGGAGAGGUAUGUGUUACUACAAAAAUCUUGUAAUUAUUUUGGUUUAUAGUAUUUACUAAUUAACAUAUUAAUAAUUUCAUAACGUAGGAUCGUGAGCAAGUUGGAAAAAGUAGUAGGCAGAAACAAAAAUUCACUCACACAGCUGGCUCGAGAAGUUUUGCUUGUGUAGCUCAAGCCGAG
RNAcentral lists this long non-coding RNA (203 nucleotides) under Gossypium barbadense (sea-island cotton). Its description in RNAcentral is "long non-coding RNA (GBAR_LNC017930)". Lineage: Eukaryota; Viridiplantae; Streptophyta; Magnoliopsida; Malvales; Malvaceae. The record is from RNAcentral.